Molecule: long non-coding RNA, 575 nt
Filed under: Androctonus crassicauda
Lineage: Eukaryota; Metazoa; Arthropoda; Arachnida; Scorpiones; Buthidae
Source: RNAcentral
UCUUCCGAUCUUAUUAUGAAACUGUAAUAACGAAGAAUGUUUGGGAUACAUUCGUUAAAAAUCUUAAUAAAAUGAAUGCGAAAAUAUACAAAGAUUGUCCGAUAAUAUAUUUAAAAUAUUUUCACGAAUGUUUUGAAUGAUUUUCUUUUAGAUAAUUUUCAGCAGAGUUUCCCCAAAAUAUGCCGCUAACCACAAAAGUGAUCAGAUAUGUCAGCUUUACGGUUAGUUCAACCGGAUUCUCAAUGUUCGGUUCUUUUGGUUUUUUUUUUUUUUUUUUUUUAACCAGCGGCGAACGGUCAGCAGUUGUCUGGAAGUUUGGCCUCGGGGUUUUAUCAUUCUUUUCGUGGUUACAUAACCCGGAUAUUUCGACGAAAAGUGACCAGUUCUAAAGACUUUAUAAUGUAUUUUCUCGUUCCGCACCGUUGACAUGACGAACAUCACGACAUUUCUAAUAUUAUCUAAUGUUUGCUGGGUAGUCAUUUCGUUUCGAUAUCUCGAAAACUUAUAUAAAGCUAUCAGGCAGUAACCUUUUUUUCGAAAAGAUAAAUUAAGUAUUUGUAGUAAUCUAACUAGGC